AUUGAACGCUGGCGGCAGGCCUAACACAUGCAAGUCGAACGGCAGCACAGAAGAGCUUGCUCUUUGGGUGGCGAGUGGCGGACGGGUGAGUAAUGUCUGGGAAACUGCCCGAUGGAGGGGGAUAACUACUGGAAACGGUAGCUAAUACCGCAUAACGUCGCGAGACCAAAGUGGGGGACCUUCGGGCCUCACACCAUCGGAUGUGCCCAGAUGGGAUUAGCUAGUAGGUGGGGUAACGGCUCACCUAGGCGACGAUCCCUAGCGGGUCUGAGAGGGUGACCAGCCACACUGAAACUGAGACACGGUCCAGACUCCUACGGGAGGCAGCAGUGGGGAAUAUUGCACAAUGGGCGCAAGCCUGAUGCAGCCAUGCCGCGUGUAUGAAGAAGGCCUUCGGGUUGUAAAGUACUUUCAGCGGGGAGGAAGGCGGUGAGGUUAAUAACCUCGCCGAUUGACGUUACCCGCAGAAGAAGCACCGGCUAACUCCGUGCCAGCCGCCGCCGUAA
RNAcentral lists this ribosomal RNA (506 nucleotides) under uncultured bacterium. Its description in RNAcentral is "partial 16S ribosomal RNA". It matches the Rfam family "Bacterial small subunit ribosomal RNA", at positions 29 to 523 of the family's 1533-position model. The record is from RNAcentral.